Cucurbita moschata (crookneck pumpkin) is the source of this 610-nucleotide long non-coding RNA. RefSeq lists it as uncharacterized. The transcript is spliced from 4 exons. The record is from RefSeq and is a predicted model, not a curated record. NCBI's taxonomy places the organism in Eukaryota, Viridiplantae, Streptophyta, Magnoliopsida, Cucurbitales, Cucurbitaceae.
UGAUAGUUGCUUCUUACGGAGUCCCACUCCCAGUCGCCAAUUUCUCUCGCCAUGGAGGAGAGCACAUUCGAUCCUGAUCUGAUUAUCGCCUUCUUCAAGCUUGAGUUGAGCAGAAGAUCACUUGAGUGCGAGAAAAACGAGAGUUCUGAUGUUAUGGACUGCGAGCGGUGCUUAGGUAAAUCGUAGAAUGCUUAAUUUAGUUCUUAAGUUCUCACGAUUCCACCAAUUUUACGCAUAUUUCUACUGGCAAACAUAUGCACAUAGGCAGGAGUACAAAUGCAGAUGGAAACGCGGCACAAGUUAAUAGGCUUCAAAAUAAAAUAAUACAGAAUAACUCUAAAUAAAUGGAAUGCUCUAGAAUACUUCAUCUUGUCCUUUUCUCGAGUGAUGAAAUGAACGUUUCCAUUUUCCUCAACACAUGUUUCAAGUACUUUGCCGUUGGGGAGAGUUGGCAAAUUUCUUCCUAACUUUGUAGUCUUAUUCUGAUCUCAAUACAAAUACCAUAAUCUAUGGAAGUAGAAAUCAGGAUGCAGCUUUGUUUUCGUGAGCAUAAGUUUCUCUACAAAAGAAGUUUGAAAUUCCUCUCGCUGGAAUGUUUAAGCUGCAAUGG